This is a small nucleolar RNA of Vitis vinifera (wine grape), 84 nucleotides long. It matches the Rfam family "Small nucleolar RNA R32/R81/Z41". From Rfam's summary of the family: This family contains the related snoRNAs R32, R81 and Z41 which are members of the C/D class of snoRNA containing the C (UGAUGA) and D (CUGA) box motifs. Most of the members of the box C/D family function in directing site-specific 2'-O-methylation of substrate RNAs. The record is from Rfam. Lineage: Eukaryota; Viridiplantae; Streptophyta; Magnoliopsida; Vitales; Vitaceae.
GGAUGAAUAUGAUGAAAGUUAUGAUGCAUGGUGAUCGCCUCGAUGUGAUGAAGAUGUUUUCGCUACGUUCUUUCUGAUUCAUAU